GACCUCGGAUCAGGUAGGAAUACCCGCUGAACUUAAGCAUAUCAAUAAGCGGAGGAAAAGAAACCAACAGGGAUUGCCCUAGUAACGGCGAGUGAAGCGGCAACAGCUCAAAUUUGAAAUCUGGCUCUCGGGCCCGAGUUGUAAUUUGUAGAGGAUGCUUUUGAUGCGGUGCCUUCCGAGUUCCCUGGAACGGGACGCCAUAGAGGGUGAGAGCCCCGUCUGGUUGGAUGCCAAAUCUCUGUAAAGCUCCUUCGACGAGUCGAGUAGUUUGGGAAUGCUGCUCUAAAUGGGAGGUAUAUGUCUUCUAAAGCUAAAUACCGGCCAAAGACCGAUAGCGCACAAGUAGAGUGAUCGAAAAGAUGAAAAGCACUUUGAAA
Molecule: ribosomal RNA, 377 nt
Filed under: Fusarium equiseti
Lineage: Eukaryota; Fungi; Ascomycota; Sordariomycetes; Hypocreales; Nectriaceae
Description: partial large subunit ribosomal RNA
Rfam family: Eukaryotic large subunit ribosomal RNA
Source: RNAcentral